UGCCAGCAGCCGCGGUAAUACAGAGGGUGCAAGCGUUAAUCGGAAUUACUGGGCGUAAAGCGCUCGUAGGCGGAUUAUUAAGUCAAAUGUGAAAUCCCUGGGCUCAACCUAGGAACUGCAUUCGAAACUGGUAGUCUAGAGUAUGGUAGAGGAAAGUGGAAUUCCCGGUGUAGCGGUGAAAUGCGUAGAUAUCGGGAGGAACAUCAGUGGCGAAGGCGACUUUCUGGCUAUUUUCUGACGCUGAGGAGCGAAAGCGUGGGGAGCAAACAGGAUUAGAUA
Molecule: ribosomal RNA, 279 nt
Filed under: uncultured bacterium
Lineage: Bacteria
Description: partial 16S ribosomal RNA
Rfam family: Bacterial small subunit ribosomal RNA
Source: RNAcentral